This 382-nucleotide ribosomal RNA is filed under the name uncultured eukaryote. Its description in RNAcentral is "partial 18S ribosomal RNA". It matches the Rfam family "Eukaryotic small subunit ribosomal RNA", at positions 592 to 976 of the family's 1831-position model. The record is from RNAcentral.
UGUAAGCGUAUACCAAAGUUGUUGCAGUUAAAACGCUCGUAGUCGGAAUUUGGCAGUUCCGGAUGUGUGCACGUCGUGUGCGCACUUCGCGGGGAUUGCUUUUGUGGUCUUGCGUAGGAUGAGGCACUUUUAUUAGUGAACGUCCUCACGCAACCACUUUUUACUGUGAGAAAAUCAGAGUGCUCAAAGCAGGCAUUUGCCGUGAAUGUAUUAGCAUGGAAUAAUAGAAUAGGACUUGGUUCUAUUUUGUUGGUUUGUUGGGACUGAGUAAUGAUUAAGAGGGACAGUUGGGGGCAUUUGUAUUUCGGUGCUAGAGGUGAAAUUCUUAGAUUACCGGAAGACAAACUGCUGCGAAAGCGUCUGCCAAGGAUGUUUUCAUUGA